RNAcentral lists this ribosomal RNA (497 nucleotides) under uncultured bacterium. Its description in RNAcentral is "partial 16S ribosomal RNA". It matches the Rfam family "Bacterial small subunit ribosomal RNA", at positions 28 to 507 of the family's 1533-position model. The record is from RNAcentral.
GAUGAACGCUGGCGGCGUGCCUAAUACAUGCAAGUCGAGCGAACAGACGAGGAGCUUGCUCCUCUGACGUUAGCGGCGGACGGGUGAGUAACACGUGGAUAACCUACCUAUAAGACUGGGAUAACUUCGGGAAACCGGAGCUAAUACCGGAUAAUAUAUUGAACCGCAUGGUUCAAUAGUGAAAGACGGUUUUGCUGGCACUUAUAGAUGGAUCCGCGCCGCAUUAGCUAGUUGGUAAGGUAACGGCUUACCAAGGCGACGAUGCGUAGCCGACCUGAGAGGGUGAUCGGCCACACUGGAACUGAGACACGGUCCAGACUCCUACGGGAGGCAGCAGUAGGGAAUCUUCCGCAAUGGGCGAAAGCCUGACGGGGCAACGCCGCGUGAGUGAUGAAGGUCUUCGGAUCGUAAAACUCUGUUAUUAGGGAAGAACAAAUGUGUAAGUAACUAUGCACGUCUUGACGGUACCUAAUCAGAAAGCCACGGCUAACUACGUG